Molecule: non-coding RNA, 72 nt
Organism: Phrynosoma platyrhinos (Desert horned lizard)
Lineage: Eukaryota; Metazoa; Chordata; Lepidosauria; Squamata; Phrynosomatidae
Source: the annotation of a GenBank genome assembly
AAUUGUGUGGCAUAGUGGCUUGAGUGUUGGACUAUGACUCUGGAGACCAGCGUUCAAUUCCCUGCUCAGCCA